Molecule: transfer RNA, 54 nt
Filed under: Eutreptiella gymnastica
Lineage: Eukaryota; Euglenozoa; Euglenophyceae; Eutreptiales; Eutreptiaceae
Source: RNAcentral
UGUAGCAUAGAUAACGCACCUGGCUGGCACACCAAAGAUGUGGGUUCGAUCCCG